CCUACGGGGGGCAGCAGUGGGGAAUUUUGCGCAAUGGGCGAAAGCCUGACGCAGCAACGCCGCGUGAGUGAUGAAGGCUUUCGGGUCGUAAAGCUCUGUCGAGGGGAAAGAAGUGUACUUUGGCUAAUAUCCAUUGUACUUGACGGUACCCCUAAAGGAAGCACCGGCUAACUCCGUGCCAGCAGCCGCGGUAAUACGGAGGGUGCAAGCGUUGUUCGGAUUUAUUGGGCGUAAAGCGCGUGUAGGCGGUUUGUUAAGUCUGAUGUGAAAGCCCUGGGCUCAACCUGGGAAGUGCAUUGGAAACUGUCAGACUUGAAUACGGGAGAGGGUAGUGGAAUUCCUAGUGUAGGAGUGAAAUCCGUAGAUAUUAGGAGGAACACCGGUGGCGAAGGCGGCUACCUGGACCGAUAUUGACGCUGAGACGCGAAAGCGUGGGUAGCAAACAGGAUUAGAUACCCGAGUAGUC
RNAcentral lists this ribosomal RNA (466 nucleotides) under Weissella confusa. RNAcentral describes it as "bacterial SSU rRNA". It matches the Rfam family "Bacterial small subunit ribosomal RNA", at positions 338 to 795 of the family's 1533-position model. The record is from RNAcentral. Lineage: Bacteria; Bacillati; Bacillota; Bacilli; Lactobacillales; Lactobacillaceae.